UCGGGAAUAUUGCACAAUGGAGGAAACUCUGAUGCAGUGACACCGCGUAUAGGAAGAAGGUUUUCGGAUUGUAAACUAUUUUAGACAGGGAAGAAAAAAGACAGUACCUGUAGAAUAAGCUCCGGCUAACUACGUGCCAGCAGCCGCGGUAAUACGUAGGGAGCAAGCGUUAUCCGGAAUUAUUGGGUGUAAAGGGUGCGUAGACGGGACAGCAAGUUAGUUGUGAAAGCCCUCGGCUUAACUGAGGAACUGCAACUAAAACUAUUGUUCUUGAGUGCAGGAGAGGAAAGCGGAAUUCCUAGUGUAGCGGUGAAAUGCGUAGAUAUUAGGAGGAACACCAGUGGCGAAGGCGGCUUUCUGGACUGUAACUGACGUUGAGGCACGAAAGUGUGGGGAGCAAACAGG
RNAcentral lists this ribosomal RNA (405 nucleotides) under uncultured bacterium. Its description in RNAcentral is "bacterial SSU rRNA". It matches the Rfam family "Bacterial small subunit ribosomal RNA", at positions 355 to 776 of the family's 1533-position model. The record is from RNAcentral.